GAAUAAUACCCUAUGAUAUGAUAGCCUCGCAUGAAGCUAUCAUCAAAGAUUUAUCGGUGUAAGAUGGACUCGCGUCUGAUUAGCUAGUUGGUGGGGUAACAGCCUACCAAGGCAACGAUCAGUAGCCGGCUUGAGAGAGUGUACGGCCACAUUGGGACUGAGACACGGCCCAGACUCCUACGGGAGGCAGCAGUGGGGAAUUUUGCACAAUGGGGGCAACCCUGAUGCAGCGACGCCGCGUGAUUUAGAAGGCCUUCGGGUUGUAAAAAUCUUUUGUAUGGGAAGAAAAUGACAGUACCAUACGAAUAAGGACCGGCUAAUUACGUGCCAGCAGCCGCGGUAAUACGUAAGGUCCGAGCGUUGUCCGGAAUCAUUGGGCGUAAAGGGUACGUAGGCGGAUAAGCAAGUUAGAAGUGAAAUCCUAUAGCUCAACUAUAGUAAGCUUUUAAAACUGUUCAUCUUGAGGUAUGGAAGGGAAAGUGGAAUUCCUAGUGUAGCGGUGAAAUGCGCAGAUAUUAGGAGGAAUACCGGUGGCGAAGGCGACUUUCUGGCCAUAAACUGACGCUGAGGUACGAAAGCGUGGGUAGCAAACAGGAUUAGAUANCCUGGUAGUCCACGCCGUAAACGAUGAGUGUUAGGUGUCUGGAAAAAUCU
This 654-nucleotide ribosomal RNA is filed under the name uncultured Anaerococcus sp. RNAcentral's name for it is "SSU rRNA". It matches the Rfam family "Bacterial small subunit ribosomal RNA", at positions 161 to 835 of the family's 1533-position model. The record is from RNAcentral. Lineage: Bacteria; Bacillati; Bacillota; Tissierellia; Tissierellales; Peptoniphilaceae.